UACGGAGGGUGCAAACGUUGCUCGGAAUUAUUGGGCGUAAAGCGCACGUAGGCGGCCAACUAAGUCGGGUGUGAAAGCCCAGGGCUCAACCCUGGAAGUGCACUCGAAACUGAUUGGCUUGAAUAUGGAAGAGGGUCGCGGAAUUCCCGGUGUAGAGGUGAAAUUCGUAGAUAUCGGGAGGAACACCAGUGGCGAAGGCGGCGACCUGGGCCAAUAUUGACGCUGAGGUGCGAAAGCGUGGGGAGCAAACAGG
This 253-nucleotide ribosomal RNA is filed under the name uncultured bacterium. RNAcentral's name for it is "partial 16S ribosomal RNA". It matches the Rfam family "Bacterial small subunit ribosomal RNA", at positions 524 to 776 of the family's 1533-position model. The record is from RNAcentral.